This 301-nucleotide ribosomal RNA is filed under the name uncultured bacterium. RNAcentral's name for it is "partial 16S ribosomal RNA". It matches the Rfam family "Bacterial small subunit ribosomal RNA", at positions 509 to 809 of the family's 1533-position model. The record is from RNAcentral.
CAGCCGCCGCGGGAAUACGAGGGGGGCAAGCGUUGUUCGGAUUUAUUGGGCGUAAAGGGUGCGUAGGCGGUUUGGCAAGUCUUGUAUGAAAUCUAUGGGCUCAACCCAUAGCCUGCACGAGAAACUACCGGGCUUGAGUGAUGGAGAGGUGAGUGGAAUCUCCGGUGUAGCGGUGAAAUGCGUAGAUAUCGGAAGGAACACCUGUGGCGAAAGCGGCUCACUGGACAUUAACUGACGCUGAUGCACGAAAGCUAGGGGAGCAAACAGGAUUAGAUACCCCUGUAGUCCCUGUCUCUUAUAU